Non-coding RNA from Pelobates cultripes (western spadefoot toad), 239 nucleotides. NCBI's taxonomy places the organism in Eukaryota, Metazoa, Chordata, Amphibia, Anura, Pelobatidae. The record is from the annotation of a GenBank genome assembly.
GCAGUUCAGAGGUUUUGCUAGGAUGUAUUUAAACUAGGAGGGGGGGGCAAAAGGGUGAUAAAACAUCAAUCCAAUUGUCCCCCAAAACAAGGACAGAAGGUGCCUGUAGCAAGUGUUGUUAAAAAUGAUAAGCUUAGAGUCAUGUCUACAAAUGCUCGCAGUUUAGGGAAUAAGAUCCAUGAACUUGUGGCAAUAAUGGCAACUGAUAGUGUAGAUUUAGUCGCUGUUACUGAGACAUG